This 2877-nucleotide long non-coding RNA is filed under the name Triticum aestivum (bread wheat). Its description in RNAcentral is "long non-coding RNA (TAES_LNC014607)". Lineage: Eukaryota; Viridiplantae; Streptophyta; Magnoliopsida; Poales; Poaceae. The record is from RNAcentral.
UGGCAUCAAGUGAUCGAUCCCCAUGCCAUCCCGCAUCUAGUUGCCACUUAUUUUCUUCAAAUUUCUCUUCAUUGGGUGGUGGCUCAGGUGGCCGGAUGAGUGUGUGCACGCGUUUGAUGCAGUCUCUACGGUGCGGAUCCUCACCUACCUCGUCGACUCUGGCAACGCGGCCACGAUGAGGGCCAGGUUGAAAGCACCGGAUGCGCUCCUCAACCUCGUCUAGCGGCCCUGGCAGAGGUGCUGAAGGUUGGCGGCGUGGAGGAGAUGGUGAGGGAUCUCACGGAGGAUGGGACACCGGUUCGUGGAUUUGCAGACAUUCACACCACUAUAGUUUAAUAGGUGUCCUUAUCCUGGUUCUUGUCAAGUACUCUUAUCAUAUCUUUGUAAAUAGAUAUAUAGUCUACCUUAGUAUUCUGUUGAUAAGCUACAAAUCCACCCAUUUUCUGGAUAACUUCCUUGUUCUCCAAGGAUUCAUUUCACCUACUAUAUCAUUCAGCCGAGCACUUUUCUUCCUUAUGAUGUCAGUAACAGUGGAUUUUCAUUUUCGCAGUGAACAUCUGACCUUCUCUUUUUGCAAAACAACAACAACAACAACAACAACAUCUGACCUUCGUACUCUUGGUCUUCCAGCCUUGUAUUUUUUUUUACUUUUGCUCCAGCAGAUUUCCUGUUCUUGCAGACAUCUUUUCCCUUUCUUUCUGUAGUACUUGCCGCAUUUCAUUCUUCCUCUCGAGUCAUUUGAUAGUACAAUAGAUCUCAGUCUCCUCUUUUUGUCACUUUGUAGUUCACAUGAUGAUAACAGUUGGUCGCGGCACCCAUCUUUGUUUACUGUAUCCCCAUUGCUAUCAUGUGGUUCCUCUUUCGCAGGCACCAGUUCACAUGACAUUUUGGAACGUGAAACUCUAUUAUUCUGUGACUGUAAAAUAAAUAUACAUUUGAAAAAUUAGACAUGCUUCUAAAAAUCUGGAAGUGUGUAUGUGGAAAAAAUCAAUCACCCUUUUAACUGCAUGUUCAGUUUCUUUGAUUUAUGUUUUAGUAAGGCGUCCCCUUCAUCAUUCAUCAAAUCAUGUGUAACAUAUGUGCUGAAUCGGUUUGGAACUUAUAUACAUGGUACCUAAUUUUAAUUUUUGGAAAAAUGAAUAAAAGCACCUUUACCUCCUCAACUUCAUUGUAUACGUACAACAUCUCAAGUCUAUCACUGGGCACAAAUGUUAUCUGUACAUAAUUAUGGUAUUAUCUUUGGCGCUUCAGAUUUCCCAUCCAAUGACUUAGCAAGUUAGAGACAGAUGUAUAAUGGUCAGAAAAAAUAAUUAGUUUGAAGUCUUAAUUACAACUAUAAAUGUACCCGAGCGUUGGAGUAUAGUUGAAAGUCUCAAUUAAAAUUAUAAACAUACAUGGGCACUGUAUAUCUUCCUUGGCCCGUUCUUGUAUUAGGUAAGGUUCUUCGUAGAUAGCUUGAAGUAAUAACAGGCAAUAUUUCCGGAGAUCUUUGACCUCCUUUACCUUUGUAUAUGUGCAAAACUAUUUUAAUUUCGUUGCUUAGAGGACAAUAUUUGGUGGAUUCCACAACCGUAAAAUUGCUCCUCGGCCCGUUCUUGUAUCAAGUCGGGUUCUUGGUAGAUAGCUCGAAGUAAUAACAUGCCAUUUUUCCGGAGAUCUUGGACCUCCUUUACCUUUGUAUUAUGUGCAAAACUAUUUUAAUUUCAUUGCUUAGAGGGUGAUAUUUUGUGGAUUCCACAACCGUAAAAUUACUAAAUGCAUAAGUAGAUUGCUCAUCGAUUUUUAAUCUGAAAGUGUCUAUGAGACUUAGUAAUUGUUUUUGAAAAUGCUAGAAUAAUUUCUAGUUUAAAAUAUAAAGAAUAUACAUGUUCAUCCAUUAAGAUCAUAUCUGGGUUAAUAAGCUCAUCAAUUGUAGGAUUUAACAUGUAUCUUUAUUACUUUUACUUGAAUGUUCCCGUUUUGUCCCUGUUAAAUCGCUCAGUUUUUUGUGUGGCACAAUGUUUUGCCUACAAAUAACACAAAAUUAUUUUUUCAAUUCAUGAAGUACCUGUGAAGACUGUAAAAGAUAAGUGAAUUUAGUAAAUAAUAAUUGCCAAACUUUAUGAUUCAGGUGAGAAGACACUGGGUAUGGCUUCGUCCAACUUCAAGUUACAUGUUAUGUGAAGCAGUUGGAUGUGGUAGUCGUGGAGUGUUAGUUCUUGCUGACUUCAAUAUUUUUCGGUGUCGAGUUGAGCAUCAAGUCGCCCGUUGCUUCCUAUUAUCAGCUGACUUUGUUUUUCUUUGUGGUGUCACGACUCAGGCAUCGAUUCGCUCAUUGUGUCUACCACUGGCUCACUUUGGCAUAUUCUUGAACAUGUGCUAUAUGUGGCCGGCUAAUAAUUGUCGAACUUGAUGAUUCAGGUGAGAAGGCAGUGGGCGUCAUCCGACUUUGAGUUUUCGUGCCACAUGAAGCAGUUGGAUGUGGUAGUUGUGGAGUGGCGGUUCUUGCUGACUUCGAUAUUUGUCGGUGUCGAGUUGAGCGGCGAGUCUCCCAUUGCAUCGUCGUACCAUAUUCGUUUUUCUUUGUGGUGUCAAGAUUCAGGCAUCGAUUUCGUCCCACUGGCUCCAUUCAAUUUCUUGUUUUUGGCUGAUUUCUUGGGCGUGUGGUUUAUGUGGACGACCAGUCUUGUUUAUAUUGGUUGAUGUGGCUGACACCGUGUGGAGUCCUGAUCUUAUAUUUGUCUUGCAUGCAUCUGUCCGGUUUUGGAUUGUCAGCACGUGAGUUGUACUUACGUAUCCAUUAUAUGUUUGGGAUCCUUAUUUGUUGACCCAUCCUUGGGAAAGAAAGUUAUUAUGGAUCUGUUCGUGGUUGUCUCGGACAUAUUUGAUUUUAAAAUA